AAGCAUAUCAAUAAGCGGAGGAAAAGAAACCAACAGGGAUUGCCUCAGUAACGGCGAGUGAAGCGGCAACAGCUCAAAUUUGAAAUCUGGCCCCAGGCCCGAGUUGUAAUUUGCAGAGGAUGCUUUUGGUGCGGUGCCUUCCAAGUUCCCUAGAACGGGACGCCAGAGAGGGUGAGAGCCCCGUACGGUUGGACACCAAGCCUUUGUAAAGCUCCUUCGACGAGUCGAGUAGUUUGGGAAUGCUGCUCAAAAUGGGAGGUAUAUUUCUUCUAAAGCUAAAUACCGGCCAGAGACCGAUAGCGCACAAGUAGAGUGAUCGAAAGAUGAAAAGCACUUUGAAAAGAGGGUUAAACAGCACGUGAAAUUGUUAAAAGGGAAGCGCUUGUGACCAGACUUGCGCCCGGUGAAUCACCCAGCUCUCGCGGCUGGGGCACUUUGCCGGCUCAGGCCAGCAUCAGCUCGCUGUCGGGGACAAAAGCUUCAGGAACGUAGCUCUCUUCGGGGAGUGUUAUAGCCUGUUGCAUAAUGCCCUUCGGCGGGCUGAGGUACGCGCUCCGCAAGGAUGCUGGCAUAAUGGUCAUCAGCGACCCGUCUUGAAACACGGACCAAGGAGUCAACCUUAUGUGCGAGUGUUCGGGUGUUAAACCCCUACGCGUAAUGAAAGUGAACGCAGGUGAGAGCUUCGGCGCAUCAUCGACCGAUCCUGAUGUUCUCGGAUGGAUUUGAGUAAGAGCAUAUAGGGUUGGACCCGAAAGAAGGUGAACUAUGCGUGUAUAGGGUGAAGCCAGAGGAAACUCUGGUGGAGGCUCGCAGCGGUUCUGACGUGCAAAUCGAUCGUCAAAUAUGCGCAUGGGGGCGAAAGACUAAUCGAACCUUCUAGUAGCUGGUUUCCGCCGAA
RNAcentral lists this ribosomal RNA (898 nucleotides) under Colletotrichum xanthorrhoeae. RNAcentral's name for it is "LSU rRNA". It matches the Rfam family "Eukaryotic large subunit ribosomal RNA", at positions 36 to 965 of the family's 3401-position model. Lineage: Eukaryota; Fungi; Ascomycota; Sordariomycetes; Glomerellales; Glomerellaceae. The record is from RNAcentral.